Orbicella faveolata is the source of this 1175-nucleotide long non-coding RNA. The record is from RefSeq and is a predicted model, not a curated record. NCBI's taxonomy places the organism in Eukaryota, Metazoa, Cnidaria, Anthozoa, Scleractinia, Merulinidae.
UUCAAUUCAAUCCAGAAUCACGUGGAACCAAAACUGUGUCUUGGCUGUAAUUUAAAGCACCCAUACAUAAGCACACCACCAAGCCACUUUUCUGUCUGAUACGAUUAUUUAAUGGUGGUCUCAACAAGUCGUGCCCUAAAUUUAGCCCCAAUGUCUUGGGUACUUUGGGGGUGGGGUGGGCUGUAUAUUGGUCUAGAGGGAUAUUUUUAAAUCCAUAAGAUUUGCGGUCUCUGUCCUGUUAUAAUCUGUCAUGAUGGGCCAUAAAUGUGUGUAUGAAAACAACAUAAAGAUCAGCCUAGACGCCGAAUAAGUCAAAGCCGUCGAUAACAGAGCCCCUGUUGGCGCUUUGGGAUUCCGGAAGAGAGGAGCCUGGAACGAAUUGGACUCGUCACCUCGGCGAUUCGCUGAUGCUGUAAACUGUGUUCAAAUUGUGGAACUAAAUGAAGUUCGUGAAAGUCAAGAUCAGCCACGAUGACUGGUUUUACUGAGUAGAAAGACCAACGAUCCUGUUGUGCCACAGUCAGAAGAAUCUGUGGGAGAUAGGCACUGAAAAUCGAGCUAGGAAAUACGAACAUGUAACACGGUUGAAGGGAUCACGAUGGAUUGUUAGACUGUCCCUCUGUGUUGCAAACUACUGCAUUGAGCUUGAAGGUUUGAACAGAAUUUUACAAUUGAGCAGACGCGGGAGUCUUCCUGGAACCAAUGAAAGAUAAAGUUGUUCAUGAGAGCUCACAAAGCGAUGAAAAUAAUGAGGCGUUAAAUCGUUCCUCUGCAUCAGCUAUUCCUCCAUUCAAUAUACCCGACUUGAAGCUAUUUGAGAAGGAAUCUCGAACAACACAGCUUGUUUUUAGCUACCAAGGAGGGAAAAAGGUCAGUUAUGAAUUUAAAAAGAUUAAUUUGGUAAGCAGUUUUUGCUGGAUUAAUGUUGCAGUUCCUAGAGAGUUAUGUUCAAAUGUUUGUAGUAGAUGAAUGCAAAAACCACACAGUAAUAAAUGGCGUAAAGAGAGUUUGUUAUUUAGGGUUUGUCGAGUCUUAGAACUGGCCAAGACCAAAAGUUACAUCACAUUUGUUGCCAGGUAAUAAUAAUAUCAAAAGAAUGUGUCAUCUCAGAUGGCAACCCCAACCUUGUUCCCAGGGUUUCUCUAUCUCUUUGCCCCCAAGAGCUCUUGGGGGUG